RNAcentral lists this ribosomal RNA (631 nucleotides) under Pasteurella multocida. RNAcentral's name for it is "bacterial SSU rRNA". It matches the Rfam family "Bacterial small subunit ribosomal RNA", at positions 34 to 652 of the family's 1533-position model. Lineage: Bacteria; Pseudomonadati; Pseudomonadota; Gammaproteobacteria; Pasteurellales; Pasteurellaceae. The record is from RNAcentral.
CGCUGGCGGCAGGCUUAACACAUGCAAGUCGAACGGUAGCAGGAAGAAAGCUUGCUUUCUUUGCUGACGAGUGGCGGACGGGUGAGUAAUGCUUGGGAAUCUGGCUUAUGGAGGGGGAUAACUGUGGGAAACUGCAGCUAAUACCGCGUAUUCUCUGAGGAGGAAAGGGUGGGACCUUAGGGCCACCUGCCAUAAGAUGAGCCCAAGUGGGAUUAGGUAGUUGGUGGGGUAAAGGCCUACCAAGCCUGCGAUCUCUAGCUGGUCUGAGAGGAUGACCAGCCACACUGGAACUGAGACACGGUCCAGACUCCUACGGGAGGCAGCAGUGGGGAAUAUUGCGCAAUGGGGGGAACCCUGACGCAGCCAUGCCGCGUGAAUGAAGAAGGCCUUCGGGUUGUAAAGUUCUUUCGGUAAUGAGGAAGGGAUGUUAUUAAAUAGAUAGCAUCAUUGACGUUAAUUACAGAAGAAGCACCGGCUAACUCCGUGCCAGCAGCCGCGGUAAUACGGAGGGUGCGAGCGUUAAUCGGAAUAACUGGGCGUAAAGGGCACGCAGGCGGACUUUUAAGUGAGAUGUGAAAUCCCCGAGCUUAACUUGGGAACUGCAUUUCAGACUGGGAGUCUAGAGUACUUU